Molecule: non-coding RNA, 22 nt
Filed under: Arabidopsis thaliana (thale cress)
Lineage: Eukaryota; Viridiplantae; Streptophyta; Magnoliopsida; Brassicales; Brassicaceae
Source: RNAcentral
AACAACGGUGUACCGCGGAGUA